UCAAAGCUAGAACUCCACUUUCCAUCACUGUGAGUAAUGAUAAAUAAUGCAUACCAACAUGCAUUUGCAUAGCAUUUUUUUUUACAAACAAUGUCUAAUUGUGCAUUGCAUUCCGAUGUUUAACUUUGCAAUAUUUCUGCAAUUAAUUGCAAUGCUUGAUUAGUUGUGAUGUGACAAUGCCUUGCUUUGUUUGUGUGGAAUUGGGAUGAAGUGGGUCACCAUGGGUUUGUGAGACUGUUUCUGUUAUAUGGAUCCUGAUUCUGUUUCUGUUAGCCGGGUAAAUGGGAGAUCGGCGCCCCCGUGUGCACCUACCGUUACCGUUACCGUUAACCACGGGUUGGCUUCUCGUCGUUGCGCACCGGACAGUCUAGAUUUGAUCGCAGCCCGCAGGGUGGCCUCCUGUUGUGAGCGCCUGAUGAUCUAGAUUUGAUGGAGACGACCGGGUUACCUCCUGUUGGUAUGAAAAAGAAAAGAGAGAAUGGAAAAACAAUGAGAGGGCUGGUCAAGUGAGGAUUAGACCGGUCGGCCAGUAUGGGGGAUCGGCUCCCUGGUGCACAUGUGAGAGGAUGAGCCAUGUGGGAGGACGGCUCAUCGGGGGUUCGGUGACUCCACUGACUAAUCUCCACGUGAUGUGAUUAAUUGAAGGUGAUAUUGUUUGUGGGUGCUGAUGUAAUGUCAUCUGAUUGACUGAUGUGUGUUCAUUCAGUAUACUAGGGUGCAUUUUGCUUGACUGUAUGUGGUGUGUAUUAUUUAUUAUUAUUCACUGAGUUGCAAAACUCACCCCCUAAACAAAUCUCCCAGGUACUAGGAAGUUGCCGGUUCGACUGAAGCUCUGCACUCUUCUCCGCAGAGUUAUAAAUGUAAAAUUUGUAUUCCUGUUAUUUAAUUUGGACUGUAUAAAUUAUAUUUUUAUCUGACUAUUAUUGAGCUCCGCAGUUAUAGGGUUGUGUAUUUAAAUUGGUUUUUAUUGUUAGCACUACGCUAUAAAUUAAUUAUUGUUUAAUUAGCUGCAGGUGAAUCAGUAAGCCCAUAUUGUGAUUAUGAUUUAUUAUGAACAGGCCCUGGUUAAAUUUUAUGUAUUAUUGAGAUUGGGUCAGAUGUUUGAAAAUUUUUAUCAACUUGUAUCUUAAGUCAUAUGGGCUUACUGUUUUGAUGAAAUUGGGACAGAUAGUUAGAUAGAUUGGAUAAUUUAGGCUUACUACGGGCCUCGGGGGCCUUAAGCUUACCUGGGCCCUAGUGCCGGUCCGGCCCACGGAAACGGGUCGUGACA
Molecule: long non-coding RNA, 1270 nt
Filed under: Jatropha curcas
Lineage: Eukaryota; Viridiplantae; Streptophyta; Magnoliopsida; Malpighiales; Euphorbiaceae
Description: long non-coding RNA (JCUR_LNC000423)
Source: RNAcentral